This 253-nucleotide ribosomal RNA is filed under the name uncultured bacterium. RNAcentral describes it as "partial 16S ribosomal RNA". It matches the Rfam family "Bacterial small subunit ribosomal RNA", at positions 524 to 776 of the family's 1533-position model. The record is from RNAcentral.
UACGAAGGGGGCUAGCGUUGCUCGGAAUCACUGGGCGUAAAGCGCACGUAGGCGGAUUGUUAAGUCAGGGGUGAAAUCCUGGAGCUCAACUCCAGAACUGCCUUUGAUACUGAAGAUCUUGAGUUCGGGAGAGGUGAGUGGAACUGCGAGUGUAGAGGUGAAAUUCGUAGAUAUUCGCAAGAACACCAGUGGCGAAGGCGGCUCACUGGCCCGAUACUGACGCUGAGGCACGGAAGCGUGGGGAGCAAACAGG